RNAcentral lists this ribosomal RNA (398 nucleotides) under uncultured bacterium. RNAcentral describes it as "bacterial SSU rRNA". It matches the Rfam family "Bacterial small subunit ribosomal RNA", at positions 328 to 718 of the family's 1533-position model. The record is from RNAcentral.
GCUCCAGACUCCUACGGGAGGCAGCAGUGGGGAAUAUUGCACAAUGGGCGCAAGCCUGAUGCAGCCAUGCCGCGUGUAUGAAGAAGGCCUUCGGGUUGUAAAGUCCUUUCAGCGGGGAGGAAGGUGUUGUGGUUAAUAACCUUGUCGAUUGACGUUACCCGCAGAAGAAGCACCGGCUAACUCCGUGCCAGCAGCCGCGGUAAUACGGAGGGUGCAAGCGUUAAUCGGAAUUACUGGGCGUAAAGCGCACGCAGGCGGUCUGUCAAGUCGGAUGUGAAAUCCCCGGGCUCAACCUGGGAACUGCAUUCGAAACUGGCAGGCUGGAGUCUUGUAGAGGGGGGUAGAAUUCCAGGUGUAGCGGUGAAAUGCGUAGAGAUCAAGAGGAAUACCGGUGACGA